This 227-nucleotide ribosomal RNA is filed under the name uncultured Lactobacillus sp. Its description in RNAcentral is "partial 16S ribosomal RNA". It matches the Rfam family "Bacterial small subunit ribosomal RNA", at positions 134 to 355 of the family's 1533-position model. The record is from RNAcentral. Lineage: Bacteria; Bacillati; Bacillota; Bacilli; Lactobacillales; Lactobacillaceae.
GAGAUCGGGAUAACACCUGGAAACAGAUGCUAAUACCGGAUAACAACAGAUGAUGCCUAUCAACUGUUUAAAAGAUGGUUCUGCUAUCACUCUUGGAUGGACCUGCGGUGCAUUAGCUAGUUGGUAGGGUAACGGCCUACCAAGGCGAUGAUGCAUAGCCGAGUUGAGANACUGAUCGGCCACAUUGGGACUGAGACACGGCCCAAACUCCUACGGGAGGCAGCAGC